Molecule: ribosomal RNA, 460 nt
Filed under: uncultured bacterium
Lineage: Bacteria
Description: partial 16S ribosomal RNA
Rfam family: Bacterial small subunit ribosomal RNA
Source: RNAcentral
CCUACGGGAGGCAGCAGUGAGGAAUAUUGGUCAAUGGGCGCGAGCCUGAACCAGCCAAGUCGCGUGAGGGAGGACGGCCCUACGGGUUGUAAACCUCUUUUGCCGGGGAGCAACGGGCGCCACGUGUGGCGUCACUGAGAGUACCCGGAGAAAAAGCAUCGGCUAACUCCGUGCCAGCAGCCGCGGUAAUACGGAGGAUGCGAGCGUUAUCCGGAUUUAUUGGGUUUAAAGGGUGCGUAGGCGGAUCGUUAAGUCAGUGGUCAAAUUGAGGGGCUCAACCCCUUCCCGCCAUUGAAACUGGCGUUCUUGAGUGGAAGAGAAGUAUGCGGAAUGCGUGGUGUAGCGGUGAAAUGCAUAGAUAGCACGCAGAACCCCGAUUGCGAAGGCAGCUUACCAAGCUACUUCUGACGUUGAGGCACGAAAGCGUGGGGAGCAAACAGGAUUAGAUACCCCUGUAGUC